GAUGAAGAACGCAGCGAAAUGCGAUAAGUAGUGUGAAUUGCAGAAUUCAGUGAAUCAUCGAAUCUUUGAACGCACAUUGCGCCCCUUGGUAUCCCGAGGGGCAUGCCUGUUCGAGCGUCAUUUCACCACUCAAGCCUGGCUUGGUGUUGGGCGACGUCCCCUUUAGGGACGCGCCUCGAAACGCUCGGCGGCGUGGCACCGGCUUUAAGCGUAGCAGAAUCUUUCGCUUUGGAAGUCGGGGCCCAGCCUGCCGGAAUACCUACUCGUAAGGUUGACCUCGGAUCAGGCAGGGAUACCCGCUGAACUUAAGCAUAUCAAUAAGCGGAGGA
This 329-nucleotide unclassified non-coding RNA is filed under the name soil metagenome. RNAcentral's name for it is "partial contains 5.8S ribosomal RNA, internal transcribed spacer 2, and large subunit ribosomal RNA". The stretch from base 1 to 120 matches the Rfam family "5.8S ribosomal RNA", at positions 35 to 154 of the family's 154-position model. The record is from RNAcentral.